CAGGGCCGGGCUGGGCUGGGCUGGGCUGGGCUGGGCUGGGGUGAAGUUCUAGAGUUUUUUUUUUCUUUUUUCUCUUC
Molecule: microRNA precursor, 77 nt
Filed under: Erinaceus europaeus (western European hedgehog)
Lineage: Eukaryota; Metazoa; Chordata; Mammalia; Eulipotyphla; Erinaceidae
Description: miRNA (ENSEEUG00000020144.1)
Source: RNAcentral